RNAcentral lists this non-coding RNA (148 nucleotides) under Nomascus leucogenys (northern white-cheeked gibbon). The record is from Rfam by way of RNAcentral. Lineage: Eukaryota; Metazoa; Chordata; Mammalia; Primates; Hylobatidae.
GCCAGGCGUGGUGGCGCAUGCCUGUAGUCCCAGCCACUUGGGAGGCUGAGGCAGAAGAAUCACUUGAACCUGGGUGGCAGAGGUUGCAGUGAGCCAAGAUCGUGCCACUGCACUCCAGCCUGGGUGACAGAGUGAGACUCUGUCUCAA